UACGGGAGGUUGCAAGCGUUGUUCGGAAUGGACUGGGCGUAAAGGGAGCGCAGGCGGCCAAGUCAGUCUGAAGUGAAAGCCCGGGGCUUAACCCCGGAAUAGCUUUGGAUACUGCCUGGCUUGAGUGUGCGAUAGGAAAGCGGAAUUCCAGGUGUAGCGGUGAAAUGCGUAGAUAUCUGGAGGAACACCGGUGGCGAAGGCGGGUAACUGGACUGCAACUGACGCUGAGGCGCGAAAGUGUGGGGAGCAAACAGGAUUAGAUACUCCGGUAGU
RNAcentral lists this ribosomal RNA (273 nucleotides) under uncultured prokaryote. RNAcentral describes it as "partial 16S ribosomal RNA". It matches the Rfam family "Bacterial small subunit ribosomal RNA", at positions 524 to 794 of the family's 1533-position model. The record is from RNAcentral.